RNAcentral lists this ribosomal RNA (588 nucleotides) under uncultured bacterium. RNAcentral describes it as "bacterial SSU rRNA". It matches the Rfam family "Bacterial small subunit ribosomal RNA", at positions 32 to 649 of the family's 1533-position model. The record is from RNAcentral.
GACGCUCGCGGCGUGCUUAACACAUGCAAGUCGAACGAUGAAGCUGGAGCUUGCUCCGGUGGAUUAGUGGCGAACGGGUGAGUAACACGUGAGCAAUCUGCCCUUGACUCUGGGAUAACUGCGGGAAACUGUAGCUAAUACCGGAUACGAGGCUCGAAGGCAUCUUCGGGUCUGGAAAGAAUUUCGGUCAAGGAUGAGCUCGCGGCCUAUCAGCUUGUUGGUGAGGUAAUGGCUCACCAAGGCGACGACGGGUAGCCGGCCUGAGAGGGUGACCGGCCACACUGGGACUGAGACACGGCCCAGACUCCUACGGGAGGCAGCAGUGGGGAAUAUUGCACAAUGGGCGCAAGCCUGAUGCAGCAGCGCCGCGUGAGGGAUGAAGGCCUUCGGGUUGUAAACCUCUUUUAGCAGGGAAGAAGCGAAAGUGACGGUACCUGCAGAAAAAGCACCGCUAACUCGUGCCACAGCCGCGGUAAUACGUAGGGUGCAAGCGUUGUCCGAAUUAUGGGCGUAAAGACUCGAAGCGGUUUGUCCGUCUGUGUAAACUGAGCUACCUANACUGCAUGGACCGCAACUAAGUCGGAGGGA